RNAcentral lists this ribosomal RNA (89 nucleotides) under uncultured bacterium. RNAcentral's name for it is "partial 16S ribosomal RNA". It matches the Rfam family "Bacterial small subunit ribosomal RNA", at positions 1384 to 1482 of the family's 1533-position model. The record is from RNAcentral.
UACACACCGCCCGUCAAGUCAUGGGAGCCGGUAGUGCCCGAAGCCGCCACAUCACUGUGGUGUCUACGGCAAGAUCGGUGACUGGGACU